AUAUUCCUGUACCGCUCUAUGAUGCGAUGGGGGGACGGAGAAGGUUAGCUCGGCCAUCUGUUGGAAUAGGUGGUUUAAGCGUGUAGUCGUGCCGCGUAGGCAAAUCCGCGUGGCUUAGAUGAGGCGUGAUGACGAGGAUCCUCGGAUCCGAAGUGAGUGAUACCCAGCUUCCAGGAAAAGCCUCUAAGCUUCAGUCAUAGAGUGACCGUACCGCAAACCGACACGGGUGGGCUGGUAGAGAAUACCAAGGCGCUUGAGAGAACUCAGGAGAAGGAACUCGGCAAAUUGAUACCGUAACUUCGGGAGAAGGUAUGCCCCUGGUACGUGAAGGCCCUCGCGGCCGGAGCGGAACGGGGUCGCAGAGAAUCGGUGGCUGCGACUGUUUAUUAAAAACACAGCACUCUGCAAACACGAAAGUGGACGUAUAGGGUGUGACGCCUGCCCGGUGCCGGAAGGUUAAGUGAUGGGGUGCAAGCUCUUGAUCGAAGCCCCGGUAAACGGCGGCCGUAACAAUAACGGUCCUAAGGUAGCGAAAUUCCUUGUCGGGUAAGUUCCGACCUGCACGAAUGGCGUAACGAUGGCCACACUGUCUCCUCCUGAGACUCAGCGAAGUUGAAAUGUUUGUGAAGAUGCAAUCUCCCCGCGGCUAGACGGAAAGACCCCAUGAACCUUUACUGUAGCUUUGCAUUGGACUUUGACGGGACUUGUGUAGGAUAGGUGGGAGGCUGUGAAACCGGGACGCCAGUUCCGGUGGAGCCAUCCUUGAAAUACCACCCUGGUGUCGUCGAGGUUCUAACCCAGGCCUGUGAAUCCAGGUCGGGGACCGUGCAUGGUGGGCAGUUUGACUGGGGCGGUCUCCUCCCAAAAGGUAACGGAGGAGUACGAAGGUCACCUAGGUACGGUCGGACAUCGUACUGAUAGUGCAAUGGCAAAAGGUGGCUUGACUGCGAGACCCACAAGUCGAGCAGGUGCGAAAGCAGGUCAUAGUGAUCCGGUGGUUCUGUAUGGAAGGGCCAUCGCUCAACGGAUAAAAGGUACUCUGGGGAUAACAGGCUGAUUCCGCCCAAGAGUUCACAUCGACGGCGGAGUUUGGCACCUCGAUGUCGGCUCAUCACAUCCUGGGGCUGUAGCCGGUCCCAAGGGUAUGGCUGUUCGCCAUUUAAAGUGGUACGUGAGCUGGGUUUAAAACGUCGUGAGACAGUUUGGUCCCUAUCUGCCGUGGGCGCUGGAAGUUUGAGAGGGCCUGCUCCUAGUACGAGAGGACCGGAGUGGACGCACCCCUGGUGUACCGGUUGUGACGCCAGUCGCAUCGCCGGGUAGCUAUGUGCGGAAGAGAUAACCGCUGAAAGCAUCUAAGCGGGAAACUCGCCUCAAGAUGAGACUUCCCCGGGGCCUCGAGCCCCCUGAAGGGUCGUUGAAGACCACAACGUUGAUAGGCCGGGUGUGUAAGCGUGGCAACACGUUCAGCUAACCGGUACCAAUUGCCCGUGUGGCUUGAUC
Molecule: ribosomal RNA, 1500 nt
Filed under: metagenome
Description: bacterial LSU rRNA
Rfam family: Bacterial large subunit ribosomal RNA
Source: RNAcentral